GGAUUGCAGCAGCACAUAUACUAAAAUUGGAACAAUACAAAGAAGAUUAGCACGGCCCCUGCCCAAGGAUGACAUGCAAAUUUGUGAAGCAUUCCAUAUUAAA
This 103-nucleotide small nuclear RNA is filed under the name Dipodomys ordii (Ord's kangaroo rat). Lineage: Eukaryota; Metazoa; Chordata; Mammalia; Rodentia; Heteromyidae. The record is from RNAcentral.